UUAAUUUGAUGAUGAUUAUAUUAAUGAUGAUGGCGAUUGAAAUGAUGAUGAUGUUGAAUUAUGAUAACUACGAAGAUGAUGCUGACGACGACUAUGAUAAUCAUGAUGGAACUGACGAAGUGCUAAUACUAGGAAAACAAAAUUGUGUUUUGUUUCACUAUAUUUAUGUAGUAAUUCAACGCACUUUCGUUUCGAAGACCGAAGUUGGAUUUGCACCAAAGUGCGGUAUUACAAUGCCCACUGGUUACACAAUAGCGAACAACUGCAGGGUUUACGCGUUAUGAUUAAAGACCUGUUACACUAUAUUGGCUGGAUAUAAUGUGAACUAAACGUGUAUGUUCACAUGUCAGUGAUUGCGUUUAUAAACAAACAUGUGGCAAUAUUGCGAAUGAUUCUCCAACAAACGACAGACAUUACGUGUUUCCCUUUCUGCGCAGUUUGCUAAGCGUUACACACACAGACAGCUAUUGGGUUUUUAUAAUAAACUAUUUAUAGAAUUUUAUUAAUUGUGCGUUAUAUUUUAUAAAUGCCAGCGUCUUUAUUGAGUGCUAAAGGUUUUACUGGUGGUACGUUUCUCCGGAUAUAAAUGAAUACAUUCCUCAUCGGAUACAAAAAUAGAGGUUAUUAUUUUUACAGAAAUAAUUGAAAACUAAAUCCGGAUCAUGCGCAACCUCAAAAAGUACUUAAGCAAGGCUGAUGAAACAUAAAGGAUGAUGUUCAUAGAGGGUUGCAUGAGGAACAUGCAGAAAGUCUAUUAAUUGCCACUAAAAUAUUGCGACAAAAAACUGGAGCCACCAAUAAAUCUAACUUUAGAUUCCAUAAUAUUUGCCUAAACGCAAACGCAAGAAGCAAGAAUAUCCACUCGUUGUGUGCAAAGUGCGGAACUAAAGCUGGAAAUUUCCAGAUGAUUCAUCCAUCGGAAGCAACGUGCUUUUGUGUUCAUGUCUCCAAAGACUCGACCAACAAAACUGUAGUCCAUGGCGAUGAUCCAUCACGCAAUUUGUUCAAAAUUUUGGAUUAUGUUGGAUACAGCCAUGACAUGGUCGCAGAAAGGAGGAGAGUGUUUCAUGAGAAAGACGCGAUGAUUAAUAGUGCAAGAGAUGACGAAAUCGUCAGUGUAACAGCCGGCAGCAAGGCUGAAGGAUUCGCAUCAUGUUUUGAAAGCGACUACGACCGAUUGAACGUAUACACGAACAUCGUUUGCCAAUUUGAAAUUUGCCCAAACAUGUUUUCAAAGGAUUCAACAGAGUUUUGCAUGUUAGCGGAAGCAUGCCAUCCAGGACAUUACAAACUGAAGUUGUUAACAAGAGGUGCUAAGUUGCCGAAAAUCAUGGAAGAGUCGUUUGUCAAAAACCAUCAGGGAGAGACUUACAUUUCUAGUGAUUUAUUCACGAAGGAACUAGAGCAGACCGUUCCUAUGGAUACA
Long non-coding RNA from Dreissena polymorpha, 1426 nucleotides. RefSeq lists it as uncharacterized. NCBI's taxonomy places the organism in Eukaryota, Metazoa, Mollusca, Bivalvia, Myida, Dreissenidae. The record is from RefSeq and is a predicted model, not a curated record. The transcript has 3 exons.